Molecule: non-coding RNA, 73 nt
Organism: Salmo salar (Atlantic salmon)
Lineage: Eukaryota; Metazoa; Chordata; Actinopteri; Salmoniformes; Salmonidae
Source: Rfam
UUCCCUGUGGCUCAGUUGGUAGAGCAUGGUGUUUGCAACGCCAGGGUUGUGGGCUUGAUUCCCACGGGGGGAC